UACAGAGGGUGCAAGCGUUGUUCGGAAUUAUUGGGCGUAAAGAGCUCGUAGGCGGUCUGUCGCGUCUGCUGUGAAAACUCGGGGCUUAACCCCGGGCCUGCAGUGGGUACGGGCAGACUAGAGUGCGGUAGGGGAGACUGGAAUUCCUGGUGUAGCGGUGAAAUGCGCAGAUAUCAGGAGGAACACCGGUGGCGAAGGCGGGUCUCUGGGCCGUAACUGACGCUGAGGAGCGAAAGCAUGGGGAGCGAACAGG
This 253-nucleotide ribosomal RNA is filed under the name uncultured bacterium. RNAcentral describes it as "partial 16S ribosomal RNA". It matches the Rfam family "Bacterial small subunit ribosomal RNA", at positions 524 to 776 of the family's 1533-position model. The record is from RNAcentral.